RNAcentral lists this long non-coding RNA (231 nucleotides) under Elaeis guineensis (African oil palm). RNAcentral's name for it is "long non-coding RNA (EGUI_LNC059142)". Lineage: Eukaryota; Viridiplantae; Streptophyta; Magnoliopsida; Arecales; Arecaceae. The record is from RNAcentral.
CAGUAGCAAAUACAUUUAUAGAUCAUAUCAGCAGGUAUAUUUGUAUUAUAAAAAUCAAAGGAUGAACAUGCAUAAACCAGUCGAUGAUGAAUUGUAUACUCCAGACUAUUGUAGAGAAUAGGUAUCAACCAUUCAAGGAUGACACAAUGAACACACAGUCUGAAAGAAUAUUUGCGAUGGAACAUAACAGAGCAAAGGGUUGCAUAUGAAUAAAAAAACAUGAUUGCACCC